GACGAACGCUGGCGGCGUGCCUCAAACAUGCAAGUCGAGCGAGGUGAGACCGAACCGCAAGGUGAGGUUGAACCUAGCGGCGAACGGGUGAGUAACACGUGGGUAACCUGCCUGGAAGAUUGGGAUAACGGCUCGAAAGAGUCGCUAAUACCGGAUAAUGUCCUGGUGCUGCAUGGCACCGGGAAGAAAGGGGAAACCCGCUUUCAGAUGGGCCCGCGCCCCAUCAGCUAGUUGGUAAGGUAACGGCUUACCAAGGCGACGACGGGUAGCCGGUCUGAGAGGACGAUCGGCCACACUGGGACUGAGAUACGGCCCAGACUCCUACGGGAGGCAGCAGUUGGGAAUCUUAGGCAAUGGGCGAAAGCCUGACCUAGCGACGCCGCGUGAGGGAAGAAGGCCUUCGGGUCGUAACCUCUGUCAUGGGGACGAAGAAAGUAGACGGUACCCAGGAGGAAGCCCCUGCUAACUACGUG
RNAcentral lists this ribosomal RNA (473 nucleotides) under uncultured bacterium. RNAcentral describes it as "bacterial SSU rRNA". It matches the Rfam family "Bacterial small subunit ribosomal RNA", at positions 28 to 507 of the family's 1533-position model. The record is from RNAcentral.